Molecule: ribosomal RNA, 497 nt
Filed under: uncultured bacterium
Lineage: Bacteria
Description: partial 16S ribosomal RNA
Rfam family: Bacterial small subunit ribosomal RNA
Source: RNAcentral
GAUGAACGCUGGCGGCGUGCCUAAUACAUGCAAGUCGAGCGAACAGACGAGGAGCUUGCUCCUCUGACGUUAGCGGCGGACGGGUGAGUAACACGUGGAUAACCUACCUAUAAGACUGGGAUAACUUCGGGAAACCGGAGAUAAUACUGGAUAAUAUAUUGAACCGCAUGGUUCAAUAGUGAAAGACGGUUUUGCUGUCACUUAUAGAUGGAUCCGCGCCGCAUUAGCUAGUUGGUAAGGUAACGGCUUACCAAGGCGACGAUGCGUAGCCGACCUGAGAGGGUGAUCGGCCACACUGGAACUGAGACACGGUCCAGACUCCUACGGGAGGCAGCAGUAGGGAAUCUUCCGCAAUGGGCGAAAGCCUGACGGAGCAACGCCGCGUGAGUGAUGAAGGUCUUCGGAUCGUAAAACUCUGUUAUUAGGGAAGAACAAAUGUGUAAGUAACUAUGCACGUCUUGACGGUACCUAAUCAGAAAGCCACGGCUAACUACGUG